Populus trichocarpa (black cottonwood) is the source of this 1393-nucleotide long non-coding RNA. RefSeq lists it as uncharacterized. NCBI's taxonomy places the organism in Eukaryota, Viridiplantae, Streptophyta, Magnoliopsida, Malpighiales, Salicaceae. The record is from RefSeq and is a predicted model, not a curated record. The transcript has 2 exons.
UUAUUUUAAUAUAUUUUUAAAUAAAAAACAUUUCAAAUCAGAAUCAUAAUUCCAAAAAUACAAACGCUGCUUAACAAUGAGUACGAGUUGGAGCUCUCGUGGGUUUAUGACUGGUGCUACUGCUAUUGAAUCAUCACUUUUAAAUACAAUUACUUACUUCAGGAGACAAUUCCAAACACAUCUAUUAUUACUUGCCUUUAGGAAGUUUGAAGUUUGCUUGCAUCUAGGGAUGCGUGUGUACGUGGCACGUGUUUGUUAAAUUAUUAAAGUAUUUUUUUUUUUUUACAUUAAUAUUUUUAAAAACAUUAAUUUAAUAUUUUUUAAAUAAAACAUGUUUUAAAUUAGUAUUCGUACUCUCAAACCAUAUUUAAAGACGUGCUCUUAAACAAGAUUUUAAAGAUAAAGAAUUGUACUCUCAAACGUUUAAAGAUAAAGAGAAGGGUAGCUUUUGAUUUUUAUACAAUUAUACUGGAAAAUCAUUUUGUUAAUCAAAAAACUUUUGUUUUUUAUAUUGAAUUUCAUAUAUAAUUGGUUUUUAAAUCUUAGCUUUGUAGAAUAUUAAAUAAAGAUCUAUCUCCCAGAAGUCACUCGCCAGGAUACACAUGAGCUAGAAACCAACAAUCAUCCGGGGAGACAGAUGGAGUAAAUCCCAAUUCUCUGGAAGCAAUUAAACGCAUCGCAAUUGAUUUUCACGUCUCUACUCAAUCUGGGGAGGAAUCGGAAUCGAACAGAAAGCAUGUCACAAUGGUAGGAUGACAAAACCACCAUGGAAUUGGUGAAAUUAAACGUUGAUGGUUGCAGCAAAGGCAACCCGGGAUUUCCAGGGGCAGGAGGAGUACUUAGAGAUAGUUUGGGAUCAUGGAUCAAGGGAUUUGCCAUUAACACGGUGUUCGCUUUUCAGCUAAAGUGGAGCUGUGGGCAUCGAUCACAGGAUUGAAAUUUGCUCGAUCAUUGCGUAUACAAUUUUCUAUUAGGAAAAAGUGGGAAGAAAACCACUUGGGGUAACCCCAAUGGAUUCGUGUGAAGACUUGAAGAACAAAAUGAGGGAUCUUGUGAAGAGAUCUCUAUCUGCAAGCAUGGAAGGAGCUACGGAUCACGGGUAGUGAGCUUCAAUGUAUGCAGGGGGCAGGUAAGAUAAAGUGAGAACGUGGUGCCUAAUUUUCAAUAUCUGCGUGCUGCCCUCAUGAUGACAUUAAUCUUAUGUCCGUUGGUUCUUUGAAAUAGACAUGAUGUUCUCUGUUACGGUGAUCUUUUGUAGCUUUUUUCAAUGCCUUUUCGGUGCUGUAUGGCAUGUUGAUGGAAGCCCUCAACUAGUAAAACUAGCAUAGCACUCUCUGCCUAGCUAGGGCACGAGAAUUGAAAUCAAGCCAUAGCUAUUCCCAUUUCGGUUGAA